Molecule: ribosomal RNA, 253 nt
Filed under: uncultured bacterium
Lineage: Bacteria
Description: partial 16S ribosomal RNA
Rfam family: Bacterial small subunit ribosomal RNA
Source: RNAcentral
UACAGAGGCCUCGAGCGUUAGGCGGAAUCACUGGGCUUAAAGCGUGUGUAGGCGGAGCCGUAAGUGCCUUGUGAAAUCCCACAGCUCAACUGUGGAACUGCUUGGCAUACUGCGGUUCUUGAGCCACCUAGAGGCGAGCGGAACAAACGGUGGAGCGGUGAAAUGCGUAGAUAUCGUUGGGAACGCCAAUGGUGAAAACAGCUCGCUGGGGGUGUGCUGACGCUGAGACACGAAAGACAGGGGAGCAAACAGG